Molecule: ribosomal RNA, 253 nt
Filed under: uncultured bacterium
Lineage: Bacteria
Description: partial 16S ribosomal RNA
Rfam family: Bacterial small subunit ribosomal RNA
Source: RNAcentral
UACGUAGGGUGCGAGCGUUAAUCGGAAUUACUGGGCGUAAAGGGUGCGCAGGCGGCCGUGUGUGUCAGGUGUGAAAUCCCGGGGCUCAACCCCGGAACUGCGCCUGAAACUACAUGGCUAGAGUAUUGGAGAGGGUAGCGGAAUUCACGGUGUAGCAGUGAAAUGCGUAGAUAUCGUGAGGAACACCAGAGGCGAAGGCGGCUACCUGGACAAUUGCUGACGCUCAGGCACGAAAGCGUGGGGAGCAAAAGGG